RNAcentral lists this long non-coding RNA (1812 nucleotides) under Hordeum vulgare. Its description in RNAcentral is "long non-coding RNA (HVUL_LNC014478)". The record is from RNAcentral. Lineage: Eukaryota; Viridiplantae; Streptophyta; Magnoliopsida; Poales; Poaceae.
CCUGGGUCAGGAUAAGCAUGAAAAAAGGAACUUAAAUAGCUCGGUGCUGAUGAGGGGUUCACAAGAGGACAAUACUACAAUUAAAGAAUGUCAGUAGCCUGUUGGUACUACUCUGAACCUGCAUUUCCACCUUAUUACCAUUGGAAACUUAUGCUAUCCUUCAAAUCCAUUCAUAAGAUUAUUCGUAUAACAUUCCUUAUGGCGAUUUUAUUUGGUUUUUGUGGUGCUUUACGAAAGCCUACAUUUGGAUUGACCUCAUUAUUCCAUAUUUUUAUGUGCUUGAGAAUAUUAAUUCAUUUGUGAAACAAGACAUUUUUCUCAUGGGAAGGCUUGGUACAUAACGUACUAUACAUGCAUCCUACAUUUAUAAAAAAAUUCCAUGGUAUGAAACAACCUUUACAUUUAUAGUGUAUAUUCAGUGACAACUGGGAUUAUGUCAACCUUUUCAUGGUACAAUCGGAUUGCAUCGUGUUGGCACCGCAGUUAAGAAAUGGUUGUGGGGCAGGUUAGCUUUUGUUUACUUUUUGUAGUUUUCUACCUAAUUUUCUUAACUUGUGAUGUGCUUUGCCCCGAGCACGUGCAGAGUAUAUGGUGCAUAUGUUCCGUGGAUACUCCCUAUGAAGAAGAUAAAGAUCGACUAUUAUCAGAGGUGUCUGAUGCUUCUCUGUACCGUUUAAUUUGCAGUGUUGGUGGACAAAUGAGCUUACUUGAAGAAGGGGGGAUCUGAACGUGAUGAAAAGGUUAUUUUGUUCCAUUUUCCUUAUAAGCAUCCAUAUCUUUUGCUCCCUUCGUUGUACCUUCAACAACCAUGUUCAUUGUGUCGGGUUUGUAUCAUUUCCACCUAUCUUCUCACUCUUAAACCAUUUGGCUGGGUCGAUGUUUUAUUAAUAGAUACAAUUGAACUUGCAUCGUAUCUCAAACUAUGUCCCUAAUACGCCAGCCCACCCGUGCGUAUAUUAAGUGAAAACUGGGAUUAUGUCAAGUUUUCAAUGGUAUGAUCGGCUUGUAUCUUGCUGUCAUCGAAGUUAAGACAUGGCUCCGGGGCAGGUUAGCUUUUGUCUAUUCUCUGUAAUUUCUACCUGUUUUUCCUACCCCGUGUAUAUGCUAGAGUGCAGAGUAUGCUUGCUUAUCCGUUCGGUGGAUACUUUAUAUGCAGAAGAUAAAGAUUGACUAUCAUCUUCACUUAGUUGUAGAUACUAAAUAGUUGGUAUAAAAUUAUGAUAAUUUAAAAGAAGUAUUAUGGUGUGGUGCAGUAAUAAUUUUAAAUUUUAAAACUCGACACCUUGCAUCAUACUUUUGUUGCAAAUGGGGGCAGUGUGUUCAAGUUGCUCUGGAACAAUUUGAAGGGUUUCGUUGACACAAAAUCUUCAGCCAAGAUUCACUGCAUAGAAGUUUAAAUUGUAGUUGUUUCAGGUGCUUUGCCACAUUCAGUAUGCUUUGUUCUGUAUGCAUCAUUUAUUUGAUCCUAAUCUAUUUCAAAUGGAAAUGUUUCAUUGCUAAUUAAGGUUCAUUUAUUUGAUCCUAAUCUAUUUCCAUCCAGUACAUUUAUGCCUCAGGAUGGAAAUGUUCCUUGGCACCAUGACAAACAUUGGUGGAGUAACAAUCUGUUUUGUUGCUGUCGCUUAUGUAUUUUCGCUGCCACAAAGAUUACUUGGACACAGAGUCACAGUGUGUUAGAAAAUGAUUACAUUUUCCUUUUGUAACCUGAUGGUGUUAGACUGUUAGUAACAUCUCAGCAGUAGGGCGGGAUUAGCUAGCCCUUUCUUGGAUAUGUUUCCCAUAUAGUGUGUGGGGUCGACUAUUCAUACUUGG